This 492-nucleotide ribosomal RNA is filed under the name uncultured bacterium. RNAcentral describes it as "partial 16S ribosomal RNA". It matches the Rfam family "Bacterial small subunit ribosomal RNA", at positions 29 to 507 of the family's 1533-position model. The record is from RNAcentral.
AGUGAACGCUGGCGGUAGGCCUAACACAUGCAAGUCGAACGGCAACACAGUAAGAGCUUGCUCUUACGGGUGGCGAGUGGCGGACGGGUGAGGAAUACAUCGGAAUCUACUUUUUCGUGGGGGAUAACGUAGGGAAACUUACGCUAAUACCGCAUACGACCUACGGGUGAAAGCAGUGGAUCUUCUGACCUUGCGCGAUUGAAUUAGCCGAUGUCGGAUUAGCUAGUUGGCGGGGUAAAGGCCCACCAAGGCGACGAUCCGUAGCUGGUCUGAGAGGAUGAUCAGCCACACUGGAACUGAGACACGGUCCAGACUCCUACGGGAGGCAGCAGUGGGGAAUAUUGGACAAAGGGCGCAAGCCUGAUCCAGCCAUACCGCGUGGGUGAAGAAGGCCUUCGGGUUGUAAAGCCCUUUUGUUGGGAAAGAAAAGCAGCAGGUUAAUACCCCGCUGUUCUGACGGUACCCAAAGAAUAAGCACCGGCUAACUUCGUG